Molecule: long non-coding RNA, 1539 nt
Filed under: Oreochromis niloticus (Nile tilapia)
Lineage: Eukaryota; Metazoa; Chordata; Actinopteri; Cichliformes; Cichlidae
Description: lncRNA (ENSONIG00000036150.1)
Source: RNAcentral
AUCCGUCUGAUCGUUUGUCUUUCAGCUGUGACUAACAAAUACAUCCUGGUGCAGAACUUCAAGACCUGGUCUAAUGCUCAGUCUUACUGCAGACAGAGGUACACAGACCUGAGCACCAUCAACGACUGGUCGGACAACAACCAGAUAGCUUUCAUUUUGCCAACUACUGUUCAUGCCUGGAUUGGACUGUACAGAAAUUACUGGACGUGGUCAAACUCAAGCACAGCCUCCAACCUGCCAUGGGGGCUCAGGCAGCCUAAUAACAGCGUAAACUGUGCCACAAUAGUUGGAUCAACGGGCUCCUUCAACAGUCAUAACUGUGAUGACCAACGCCCCUUCCUCUGCUCCACAGAUGUCAAACCUUCAGCCUCGAGGUCAGUGAAGGUUCAGCUGAGGGCGGGAUCUGCAGACCUGAACGACCCCACAGUGCAAGAAUCCAUCCUGCAGCAGGUCAGAGGACACACGGGCCCCGAUACAAGGAACAGACCGCUAUAACUACUGUGAAAUGAUAGAGAGCAGUGAGUCUGUGCAGUCCAGGUUCAGGGACACAUGACAGCACACAGCUGCAGAGAUACGGGGCUCAUUUAAUGGAAUCCCAUCGAUUUUUAUUAUUUAACCUUUUUUUAAUUGGUAACUUGAAGAAGUCAUUUAAUUUCAGAUUACUGUGAGGAGAUGAAGUGAACCAAUGACAGGCAAUGAGGCCUAAUUCCAAACUUCAGUUUCAUCCCCAGCCAGUUCAUUUAGUUCAUUUCCCCCAGAAACAGCACGAACAACGUUUUCUGCUCACGGAAACAACGGCUGAUUAAUGAGGAGCUUCUGUUAAUGUGUGAAAACUGUUUUUUAGGUGAGGGAGAAGCUGGUGGAGCAAGGGAUCAGAGAGGAGGUGAACCUGAGGUGGAAGACGCAGCCUGAUGGGAAGAUUUUCCACAGAGAGGAGGAGACAGCCGGUUACUGUGAGAAGGAAGACUGUGGGUCGGUUUAGUCUGAACGUUACUGGCUGAUGUUCCUCAGAUGAUCUGUUGUGUAAUUCAACUUAUUUCCAUCUCUGUACUCUGACUGCUGGACUGUAAUAGCGUAGCUUUGAAUGACUGACAGUUGGAAAUAAUCCUUAUUUAUCCUAAGCUCAGAUCAAAGAGUGUCUGAUGAGCUGUUUUAUGCCUCUUUGUUUCUUCUGAUUGGUGGGCUGCAAAGUUUGCAGGUGAGCAGGUGAGCGGACCUUCUGUGUCUCAGAUAUAAAUGUUAAUGAUAUCCUGUCUCUACAUAUGAAAGUUCAAGAGGAGAAAAAAGUGAAAUUGAGUGUUCAGAGCAGUCUGAUGUCUGAGCUUUUUGACUUCAUACAUUAUAUUUCAAAUGAGCACCCAGCAAUAUAACAGUAGAUAUGCCGUAUAUGUCAGUGAAUCGCGCAUUUAUGCUCUCUAUUAUGAUAUUAAAUAUACAUUUUUCUGUAAAAGUCUCAGAAAUGUCUCUGCUGCUGUUUGAUUCUGUAAACUACAGUGAUGGCUCUGCAUCCAUCUUCAUUGUAAACUCUAUUCAAUAAAG